CGAUUAGCUCAGUUGGGAGAGCACCUGCCUUACAAGCAGGGGGUCACUGGUUCGAACCCGGUAUCG
Molecule: transfer RNA, 66 nt
Filed under: Vibrio cholerae
Lineage: Bacteria; Pseudomonadati; Pseudomonadota; Gammaproteobacteria; Vibrionales; Vibrionaceae
Description: tRNA-Val
Rfam family: tRNA
About the family: Transfer RNA (tRNA) molecules are approximately 80 nucleotides in length. Their secondary structure includes four short double-helical elements and three loops (D, anti-codon, and T loops).
Source: RNAcentral